AGGACGAACGCUGGCGGCGCGCUUAACACAUGCAAGUCGAGCGAGAACCAGUCCUUCGGGACUGGGGACAGCGGCGAACGGGUGAGUAACACGUGGGUAAUCUGCCCUCGAUUCUGGGAUAGCCCGGGGAAACCCGGAUUAAUACCGGAUAGCCUCUCGAGCUUUCGAGCUCGUGAGAAAAGGUAGCUUCGGCCUCCGAUCGAGGAUGAGCCCGCGGCGGAUUAGCUUGUUGGUGGGGUAAUGGCCUACCAAGGCGACGAUCCGUAGCUGGUCUGAGAGGACGAUCAGCCACACUGGGACUGAGACACGGCCCAGACUCCUACGGGAGGCAGCAGUGGGGAAUCUUGCGCAAUGGGCGAAAGCCUGACGCAGCGACGCCGCGGUGGGGGAAGAAGGCCUUCGGGUUGUAAACCUCUUUCAGCGAGGACGAAGCCACUCGGUUAAUACGCCCGAGAGGUGAACCGGUACUGACAGAACGAGCCCCGGCUAACUCGU
This 495-nucleotide ribosomal RNA is filed under the name uncultured soil bacterium. RNAcentral describes it as "bacterial SSU rRNA". It matches the Rfam family "Bacterial small subunit ribosomal RNA", at positions 26 to 505 of the family's 1533-position model. The record is from RNAcentral.